GUCCAUGUGGUUUUCAAUAUGUUGGCAUGACAACAAGGUGUUUAAAGAUCAGACUGGCAGAACAUUGCCGCAAUAUCAAAAAAGGAUAUGAUAACCAUUCAGUGUCCAAGCACUUUUUAUUGCACAAUAAAGACCUAAGUGCUCUUAAAGUUACCGGGAUAGAAAAAGUUUCCAUGCCAUGGAGAGGAGGGGAUAUGAAAAAUAUUUUGGGGAAAAGAGAGAUGAAUUGGGUUUUUCAAUUAAAAACCCUAUCACCUCAAGGAUUAAAUGUUGAAUUC
Molecule: non-coding RNA, 278 nt
Organism: Pelobates cultripes (western spadefoot toad)
Lineage: Eukaryota; Metazoa; Chordata; Amphibia; Anura; Pelobatidae
Source: the annotation of a GenBank genome assembly